GCCGGGGUAGCUCAGGGGUAGAGCGACGCACUCGUAACGCGUAGGUCGUGGGUUCAAUUCCCAUCCCCGGCUCCA
This 75-nucleotide transfer RNA is filed under the name Candidatus Peregrinibacteria bacterium. RNAcentral's name for it is "tRNA-Thr". It matches the Rfam family "tRNA". Rfam says of the family: Transfer RNA (tRNA) molecules are approximately 80 nucleotides in length. Their secondary structure includes four short double-helical elements and three loops (D, anti-codon, and T loops). The record is from RNAcentral. Lineage: Bacteria; Candidatus Peregrinibacteriota.